AGGACGAACGCUGGCGGCGUGCUUAACACAUGCAAGUCGAGCGGAAAGGCUCUUCGGGGUACUCGAGCGGCGAACGGGUGAGUAACACGUGAGCAACCUGCCCUUAGCUCCGGGAUAGCUCCGGGAAACCGGAUUAAUACCGGAUACGACCACGGCCGACAUCUGCUGUGGUGGAAAGGAUUCCGGCUAAGGAUGGGCUCGCGGCCUAUCAGCUAGUUGGUGGAGUAACGGCCCACCAAGGCGACGACGGGUA
Molecule: ribosomal RNA, 253 nt
Filed under: uncultured bacterium
Lineage: Bacteria
Description: partial small subunit ribosomal RNA
Rfam family: Bacterial small subunit ribosomal RNA
Source: RNAcentral